GAUGAACGCUGGCGGCGUGCCUAAUACAUGCAAGUCGAACGGAAAGGCCCUGCUUUUGCGGGGCGCACGAGUGGCGAACGGGGGUGUAACACGCGAGUAACCUGCACCUGACUUAGGGAGAACACCAGGAAACUGGGGCUCAUAUAGGAUAGAAGCUACUGCAGCAUGGGGGUGGAUAGAAAGAUUCGGCGGUUCGGGAUCGACUCGAGGGUUAUCCGCUGGUUGGUGGGGUUGUGGCAUACAAGGGCUAUGAAGGGUAGGCGGCAUGAGAGGGUGAACGGCCACAAUGCGACUGAGGUACGGACCAGACUCCUACGGGAGGCAGCAGUGGGGAAUCUUGCACAAUGGGCUGAAGCGUGAUGCAGCAGCGUCGCGUGCGGGAUGACGGCCUUCGGGUUGUAAACCGCUUUCGACUGUGACGAAGCGUGAGUGACGGUAAUGGGUAAAGAAGCACCGGCUAACUACGUG
This 468-nucleotide ribosomal RNA is filed under the name uncultured bacterium. RNAcentral describes it as "partial 16S ribosomal RNA". It matches the Rfam family "Bacterial small subunit ribosomal RNA", at positions 28 to 507 of the family's 1533-position model. The record is from RNAcentral.